GUGAACCUGCGGAAGGAUCAUUAUUGAAAUAAACCUGAUGGGUUGUUGCUGGUUCUCUAGGGAGCAUGUGCACACCUUGUCAUCUUUAUAUCUCCACCUGUGCACCUUUUGUAGACCUCCAGGUCUAUGUUGCUUCAUUUACCCCAAUGUAUGUCAAUAGAAUGUAUGUGCCUAUGAAAUCUAUACAACUUUCAGCAACGGAUCUCUUGGCUCUCGCAUCGAUGAAGAACGCAGCGAAAUGCGAUAAGUAAUGUGAAUUGCAGAAUUCAGUGAAUCAUCGAAUCUUUGAACGCACCUUGCGCUCCUUGGUAUUCCGAGGAGCAUGCCUGUUUGAGUGUCAUUAAUAUAUAUCAACCCUCUUGUUGAGUGGUUUGGAUGUGGGGGGUUUUGCUGGCCUCUCUUAAGAGGUUCAGCUCUCCUGAAAUACAUUAGCAGAACAACCUGUUUAUUCAUUGGUGUGAUAACUAUCUACGCUAUUGGAUUCGAGGCAGUUCAGCUUCUUAACGGUCCUU
This 512-nucleotide unclassified non-coding RNA is filed under the name uncultured fungus. Its description in RNAcentral is "partial contains ITS1, 5.8S rRNA and ITS2". The stretch from base 187 to 340 matches the Rfam family "5.8S ribosomal RNA". The record is from RNAcentral. Lineage: Eukaryota; Fungi.